AGACGGAGGAGGCAAGCGUUGUCCGGAAUUAUUGGGCGUAAAGAGCGCGUAGGCGGUUUUCCAAGUCAUGUGUGAAAACUUUAGGCUUAACUUAAAGAUUGCAUAUGAAACUGGGAAUCUUGAGUACGGUAAAGGAAAGUGGAAUUCCUGGUGUAGCGGUGAAAUGCGCAGAUAUCAGGAAGAACACCAGUGGCGAAGGCGGCUUUCUGGACCGUUACUGACGCUGAGGCGCGAAAGCUAGGGUAGCGAACAGGAUUAGAUACCCUGGUAGUCCUAGCUGUAAACGAUGGAUACUAGGUGUGGGAAGUUAUCGACGCUUUCUGUGCCGAAGCUAACGCAUUAAGUAUCCCGCCUGGGAAGUACGGUCGCAAGGCUGAA
Molecule: ribosomal RNA, 378 nt
Filed under: uncultured bacterium
Lineage: Bacteria
Description: bacterial SSU rRNA
Rfam family: Bacterial small subunit ribosomal RNA
Source: RNAcentral